This 75-nucleotide transfer RNA is filed under the name Catellatospora coxensis. RNAcentral describes it as "tRNA-Arg". It matches the Rfam family "tRNA". Rfam says of the family: Transfer RNA (tRNA) molecules are approximately 80 nucleotides in length. Their secondary structure includes four short double-helical elements and three loops (D, anti-codon, and T loops). The record is from RNAcentral. RNAcentral also lists the same sequence under 1 other name. Lineage: Bacteria; Bacillati; Actinomycetota; Actinomycetes; Micromonosporales; Micromonosporaceae.
GCCCUGAUGGCGCAACUGGACAGCGCACCGGUCUACGAAGCCGGGGGUUGCAGGUUCGAAUCCUGCUCAGGGCAC